This 440-nucleotide ribosomal RNA is filed under the name uncultured bacterium. RNAcentral describes it as "bacterial SSU rRNA". It matches the Rfam family "Bacterial small subunit ribosomal RNA", at positions 338 to 771 of the family's 1533-position model. The record is from RNAcentral.
CCUACGGGUGGCUGCAGUCGAGAAUUUUUCUCAAUGGGGGAAACCCUGAAGGAGCGACGCCGCGUGGGGGAUGAAUGGCUUCGGCCCGUAAACCCCUGUCAUUUGCGAACAAACCUUACGUUUUAAUAGAGCGUGAGCUGAUUGUAGCGAAAGAGGAAGGGACGGCUAACUCUGUGCCAGCAGCCGCGGUAAUACAGAGGUCCCAAGCGUUGUUCGGAUUCACUGGGCGUAAAGGGUGCGUAGGUGGUCGGGUAAGUCUGAUGUGAAAGCUCUGGGCUCAACCCAGAAAUGGCAUUGGAUACUAUCUGGCUAGAGGAAUGGAGGGGGGACUGGAAUACUUGGUGUAGCAGUGAAAUGCGUAGAUAUCAAGUGGAACACCAGUGGCGAAGGCGAGUCCCUGGACAUUUCCUGACACUGAGGCACGAAAGCUAGGGGAGCAA